RNAcentral lists this ribosomal RNA (254 nucleotides) under uncultured bacterium. RNAcentral describes it as "partial 16S ribosomal RNA". It matches the Rfam family "Bacterial small subunit ribosomal RNA", at positions 524 to 776 of the family's 1533-position model. The record is from RNAcentral.
GACGUAGGGCGCGAGCGUUGUCCGGAUUUAUUGGGCGUAAAGAGCUCGUAGGCGGCUUGUCGCGUCGACUGUGAAAUCCCGCGGCUCAACUGCGGGUCUGCAGUCGAUACGGGCAGGCUAGAGUUCGGUAGGGGAGACGUGGAAUUCCUGGUGUAGCGGUGAAAUGCGCAGAUAUCAGGAGGAACACCGAUGGCGAAGGCAGGUCUCUGGGCCGAUACUGACGUGGAGGAGCGAAAGCGUGGGGAGCGAACAGG